RNAcentral lists this ribosomal RNA (490 nucleotides) under uncultured bacterium. RNAcentral describes it as "partial 16S ribosomal RNA". It matches the Rfam family "Bacterial small subunit ribosomal RNA", at positions 30 to 507 of the family's 1533-position model. The record is from RNAcentral.
AUUGAACGCUGGCGGCAGGCCUAACACAUGCAAGUCGAACGGUAACAGGAAGAAGCUUGCUUCUUUGCUGACGAGUGGCGGACGGGUGAGUAAUGUCUGGGAAACUGCCUGAUGGAGGGGGAUAACUACUGGAAACGGUAGCUAAUACCGCAUAAUGUCGCAAGACCAAAGAGGGGGACCUUCGGGCCUCUUGCCAUCGGAUGUGCCCAGAUGGGAUUAGCUAGUAGGUGGGGUAACGGCUCACCUAGACGACGAUCCCUAGCUGGUCUGAGAGGAUGACCAGCCACACUGGAACUGAGACACGGUCCAGACUCCUACGGGAGGCAGCAGUGGGGAAUAUUGCACAAUGGGCGCAAGCCUGAUGCAGCUAUGCCGCGUGUAUGAAGAAGGCCUUCGGGUUGUAAAGUACUUUCAGCGGGGAGGAAGGGAGUAAAGUUAAUACCUUUGCUCAUUGACGUUACCCGCAGAAGAAGCACCGGCUAACUCCGUG